UGGUUAUGCAGAUGUGUGCAGAGAAGACGGCUGCGGCCCAGAGGAACCCCAAGAAAUGACGCGGAAAUGAGGGGAAGAGGAUUCAUCACUUCUGCUGGCGGCAAGAUGGAGCGAGGAGGAAAACCAAGGACCACUUUCAUCGUUAUUAAGAUCCUCAGCCCCUCUGGUGUUGGAGAGGUCCCAUGGCAUACCAGUGAAAGGCCCUGUUCCAAAGCAUCUUUCAGAUAUUAUCUCAUUUAAAUCUCAGAACAACCCCUCCAAGAGCUAACUGAAGAACACUGUCAAUCACAAACCCUUCAAUGGUGGAGCCGUGAUUUGAACCCAGAUAGCUGACUGUCUCUCACACUGCGUACUGUCCUCAUUAAUAAGAGACACACAGUCCCGAUCUCCACCGUCCAGAAGGAGCUGCAC
RNAcentral lists this long non-coding RNA (411 nucleotides) under Equus caballus (horse). RNAcentral's name for it is "lncRNA (ENSECAG00000044906.1)". Lineage: Eukaryota; Metazoa; Chordata; Mammalia; Perissodactyla; Equidae. The record is from RNAcentral.